GGAAAGAUGAAAAGAACUUUGAAAAGAGAGUUAAAUAGUACGUGAAAUUGUUGAAAGGGAAACGAUUGAAGCCAGUCGUACCUGAGGGUAAUCAGCCCUUUUGGGCAUGAUUCUGUGGAGCGUGAGGAGUUAAACGCCUUCAUGCCUGCAUAUUCGUGUACUUUGGGUGUACUUGCCUGUGUGGUUAGUUAACAUCAAUUUUGGUUAUCAUAAAAUGGUUGGAGGAAUGUAGCUUCGAUUUCGAUUGAAGUGUUAUAGCCUUCGGCAGAUGUGAUGAUCGGGAUUGAGGAUUGCAACGGAUACCCUUCGGGGCUACCUGUCUGGUCUCUGAUCGUUGCUUUGGUGCCGAAAGCGUGCUUACGGUUAUCAAAGUCGAUGGUCAAUAGGUUAGAACGGGUUAAAUUCGUUAAGGAUGUUGACGUAAUGGCUUUAAACGACCCGUCUUGAAACACGGACCA
RNAcentral lists this ribosomal RNA (458 nucleotides) under Rhizophagus intraradices. Its description in RNAcentral is "LSU rRNA". It matches the Rfam family "Eukaryotic large subunit ribosomal RNA", at positions 358 to 668 of the family's 3401-position model. Lineage: Eukaryota; Fungi; Glomeromycota; Glomeromycetes; Glomerales; Glomeraceae. The record is from RNAcentral.